UUUUCCUAAGAGCAUGUGAGUCUCCCACGGUCACUGCCAAAAGGUCAGGCUCUUUUUUUAAAUAAGGGGUUAUUAAGAGAACUGUGCAUGGCAAAAAAGAGGAAAUCCCUUGAUUAAACAAUUAUAGCUCACUUCCUGUUUAAGAUUUACACAUUUGUAAGCAUCUAAUUAUAUUUAUUUCUUACUAUAACCAGGUUUGAGUAAUCUUAAAACAUCAACUGAAUUGCCUAAGUCAGCCAAUAAUUAAAAUUCUUUUGCCAAUAUGAUUUGGAUAAAAAGUCAAACACUUCAUUUAAAAUUUAUGUGAGGCACAUUCAUAAGAAUACACUAAUUUCUCAUUCAGAUUUCAAAUUGAAUCAAUUUAAUGACUGCCGAUAGCAAAGCAAUAGAAAUGCAAAGAAAGAUAGUCCUACAAUGGACAAUUACCCAAAGUUCCUGUCAUGUUUUAUGAAUCAACAAUUGUCUCCAAACUUGUGAAAGAAAUCAAUGUUCAUUAGUUUCUAGAAUCUUAAACCUAUCUAUUCUAAACUAUAAAAAAUGAGUACAAUUAGACAUACAAUUUAAAGAAUCCAUCAAUUUGAAUGAACCCAAAGAACGAACUUCUGUAUGAUCCCGUGUUCCUUUUCAAGGCAGCACAACUCUGAAGGCUGACUGGUUUACCACUGUUUCUUCUCCUUUGUGUUCAUGUUCUUUAUCAGCCAAACAGUUACAAUGGCCUUUCAGACUUCAGUGAUAAAGGACAAAACAACAUAGUCCCAUUCGAAAAUAUGAAUGGCCUUGGACACAGCUCCAAAAAGCAAACUGCAUCGGUUAUGCCAGAGCAGAAAUAACCCCCAGUAAUACUAUCAAAUUCUAAAAUUAAGGAAAAGAAGGGGGAGAAGUAAAAGUAGAGAAGGCGAAAAAGAGGAUGAUGGGGAAGAGGCAAUUCCAACCUAUAAAGAAAGAAACAACUUCAACAUAUAAAUAAUGAAAAGUGAAAAUUCACUCCUAUGACUUUUCUUACUGUCUUCCUCUAAAAACACUAAAUGCCAGGGCUCCGUGUAGAAUCAAUGACAUUACAUUAUUUCUACCAAGUGGUAAGCAAAAUCACUCCAGUUUUACUUCCUGCCUCUUCUAACCCUCGACUCACGUCUACAGAACCUGUCUGAGGGGCAUCUCUGACUCAGACUCAAAAGUCUGCACUUCCAAAACCCUCCAGCAAUGUCAAUGAACAGUUCCUGGUCACAGUGGUUCCUGUUGGUUAUCCUAAAAAGGAGAGAACCUGCACGGCACAGAAUUCAGUCUGAUUUAUGAAAAAGACAAAACAGGACUAGUGACAAUAUCACUGUUAUGAACAAGUAUUCUACAAAACAAUAGUCCCAAACCCUGUCCUAGCGCCCUAGUCUCAUUAUGCCCAAUCCUAACCAUGCCAUGUAAAACUGACAGCUCCUAACACUCACCAUCCCUCUCAUGGAGCUCGGUUUUCUCUAUGGUUGUUCUCAGCCUCAAAACACGAGAGGAGUUUUUGCUUGAAUAGAAGCUCUACAGGGGUGGCAUAUUGGUCCGUUUAGCUCACUAAUAUACCCUCAUGCCUGGCACAUAAAACAUCGAAAACAUUCAGUAAACAUUGGUUAAAUGAAUGAAUCCUUCAUUAAGCUAAAUGAUUUCUUUUUUGUUAAGGUUUUAUUUAUUUAUUCAUGAGAGACACAGAGAAAGAGGCAGAGACAUAGGCAGAGGGAGAAGCAGGCUCCCUGCGGGGAGCCCAAUGUGGAACUUGAUCCCAGGACCUCGGGAUCAUGACCUGAGUCAAAGACAGCUGUUCAACCGCUGAGCCACCCAGGUGUCCCAGCUAAAUGAUUUCUUAAAGCUCUUCUUAUUCAAGCAGAAAAGGCAAAAAUUAGGCAGAGAAUCUUUAAAGAGUUAUAAUAGGACAGAUAAAGGGUUCUAACAUUUACUAUAAAAAGCCUAUUCACAUUUAUUAAGGAGAAACACACACACACACACACACACACACACACACACACACACACACACGAAAGCGCUGACUCAGCAACUGCUAAGAAGAACAGGAAAAGGUUAAUCAACAUUUGGGGAAAACUCACUAACAUCAAACACUAAAACAAAACAAUAGGUCUUCCUUCAAGUAAUUAGCAAAGAUUUCUAAAACUAAGAUUCCCCAAGGCAACAAACAGCACAGAAAGAUGCUCAUUUCCCAGGCAGCAGCAGUGAGCGGAAAACCACCACAGUGAUUUCGAAAUAAGACUGUGAACUGAAUGAUGUUCCUGUCUCUAAUCCAGGAAUUGUCAUUGUGAAACCUCAUUCCAAAGCAAUACCCAAAUACAGACAAGAUCAAAGAUGUUCAUCAAGGCAUUAUUUACAAUACAAGAGCCAAAUUCUGGAAACAAUCCAGAGGAUUAGCAAUGGAGAUACAGUUCAGUCAAUUUUGGUACAUCCACUAAAUCAACUACUCUACCGCCUUUAAAAUGUAUGCUUGAAGAAUUUUUAUAAAGACCAAAAAGUGAAAUAAAUAAAAGCAAGCUAAAUCUGUUCUGAACCAUGCAGGGCAUCGUAAAAGGCAGGCAGAAGAUAUUAUCAAAAGUCAAAGCUAUUUAUCUCUGAGUGGUAGGAUUAUAGGUGAAUUUUGUUCUCUAAACUAUACUUUUAUGGAUUUUCUUAUUUAUUAAAAUAAACAUGUUCUAUCUUUAUAGCAGAAGAAAGUUUAAUGAAAGAAAGAUUUCAUGGAAGACUUGGGAUAAAAUACACUUUUAAGAGUUGUCAUUAUUAGCAAGAAGACGAAGAAUAAAGUCUUAGGGGGGUAAAAAGCAGCAGACGUUAGCACUAUUUGAAAAAACACAGAAGCAGCAUUUUUAAGAAAUAGAACACCCUUAAUCCCUUUUAAAUAAAAAACAGCAAAUAGAAAACCACAGCUCUGAAUAACUGCUAUAAGGUCCUUUCAUUCCAAAAUUAUAUUCUUACGAUUUUUCUUUUAAAAUUCAAUCUGAAAUUUGACAGGGAACCUUGCACGUUUUAUUUCCUAACUCAAAUAGCUGUUGAAGAGGAACAAACCUGAAAAGAGAAAAUCAAGACAUUUGUGGCAUCAGCACUGUCCUUUGCUACGAACAUAAACUCAAAUUAUUGAUAAGACUUUUCAAUAAAUUAGCCAAAUAUAGUUAGUCCCUGAUCAGAGUGAUAAAUCAUCUGCUAGGAAAAGGCUAAAUUUAUAAAAACUACUCUACCGCCUUUAAAAUGUAUCUCUAUCUUUAUGAAUGGUCAGAAGAAAAGAACUACCCAAGCUCUUACAGAAGCCCCUUUUCUUAAUCUCUACAGGCGGAGUU
RNAcentral lists this long non-coding RNA (3314 nucleotides) under Canis lupus familiaris (dog). Its description in RNAcentral is "lncRNA (ENSCAFG00845004427.1)". The record is from RNAcentral. Lineage: Eukaryota; Metazoa; Chordata; Mammalia; Carnivora; Canidae.